CUGAGAUCCAGUGCCUUAGACCGCUGCCCCACUCGGGAGCCAUUUAAAAUGUUAUGUCUACCCCUGAGUCCAGGUUGCAGCGUCAGUUCAAGGUAAUGUGGGGGUUUAUGUCAGGCAUUCUGCUGCUCAGUCUAUCAGUCAGCAGCAUCUCUACAGGAUGGAGCAGCACACCUCUCUCUACAUGCUACUCUAUUUGCUGAAUACUGUGAUAUACUCUGGACAUGCUCAAAUUAAUGCCUCUCUGAGCAUCAGUCCUGACAGAUCUCAGUUCUUUGAAUAUGAGUCUGUCUCUCUGAGCUGUGAUGUUCAGAGCUCUACUGGAUGGAGAGUGGUGAGGAACACGCUGAAAGGAGGGACUGAAGAGUGUCCCACUGACUGGGGAUUUUUUAAAGGGUCUUCAUGCACCAUAUCUGCAGUACCAUCAGACAGUGGAGUGUACUGGUGUGAGUCUGGGUCUGGAGAACACAGCAAUGCUGUUAACAUCACAGUACAUGAUGGGGCUGUGAUCCUGGAGAGCCCUGCCAUUCCUGUGACUGAGGGAUAUUUUGUGACUCUGCGCUGCGUAUAUGAAGACAAGAAAACGAAGAAAACAUUCUCAAACUUCAGAGCUGAUUUCCAUAAUGAUGGAUCCCUCAUCAUGACCAACACUACAGGGGAGAUGACCAUCCCUGCAGUAUCCAAAUCAGAUGAAGGGCUCUACAAGUGUAACAACACUAAAGGAGAAUCACCAGAGAGCUGGAUGACUGUGACAGUUCCAUCUUCAGCUCCAGGGCCAGCCCCAUCUCCAGCAGUCCCAGUGUGGUCCAUCUCUCUGCCCAGGCUGCUGUGUAGUCUACUAGUAGUGUCUCCUUACCUGCUGGUGACCAUCAUACUGGUGGUGAAAUGCAACAGCCGCAGGAGCAUGGCUCGAGCUCAAUCUGAUGAAGAGAAGAAAAGAUGUACUGUCAUCACAUAAUCAGGAUGGAAUGUUACGCAACAACACACUUUAUGGGAACCAUGUUGAUAUGGUAACAUCGGUGGACAUUGUUAAAGAGAAGAGUAACCAUGUUAUUGUUGUUGUGUUGGAGUAAACACACUACUGUAGGCCCAUGUCUGUGUCAUGCUCCAUGUAGCAUUGUAAGGUUGUGUUGUGUUACAGGUCGGAGAGAGAGAGAGAGAGAGAGAGAGAGAGAGAGAGAGAGAGAGAGAGAGACAGACAGACAGACAGACAGACAGACAGACAGACAGACAGACAGACAGACAGACAGACAGACAGACAGACAGACAGACAGACAGACAGACAGACAGACAGACAGACAGACAGACAGACAGACAGACAGACAGAAGCCUGACUGAAGGAUGGGGGAGAGAAGAAGACCCCCCACACACACACAUAAACACACACAUACACUGUUACCAUGCACUUGUUUAUCAGAAUAGAGGAUGUGCUGCUGUGUGGCUGGUUGCAUAUGAGCAUAUGCUGUGGUUAACCACUUUCUCUGUCCUUUUGUCUUCUGCUGCCCCCUUCCCUCCCUGCUCUACAUGCUUCACUGCCAAAGCUGUAGCGGGCUAAAAAGCUACUGCUGUGCGAAGUUUCUGGAUAUUGGCAGGAACUGGAACACGCUGUCGUACACGUCGAUCAAGAGCAUCCCACACAUACUCAUUGGGUGACAUGUCUGGUGAGUAUGUAGGCCAUGGAAGAACUGGC
RNAcentral lists this long non-coding RNA (1687 nucleotides) under Salmo salar (Atlantic salmon). RNAcentral describes it as "lncRNA (ENSSSAG00000087306.1)". The record is from RNAcentral. Lineage: Eukaryota; Metazoa; Chordata; Actinopteri; Salmoniformes; Salmonidae.